UAGUACGGCGAGUGAAGAGGGAAGAGCCCAAGAUUGAAAGCUGGCGUCUUCGGCGUCCGCAUUGUAAUCUCAAGAAGUGUUUUCCGCUUCGGACCAUGCCUAAGUCCCUUGGAAAAGGGCAUCAUAGAGGGUGAUAAUCCCGUACAUGGCAUGGAGCGCCCGAAGCUUUGUGAUACGCUUUCUAAGAGUCGAGUUGUUUGGGAAUGCAGCUCAAAAUGGGUGGUAAAUGCCAUCUAAGGCUAAAUAUUGGGGAGAGACCGAUAGCGAACAAGUACAGUGAUGGAAAGAUGAAAAGAACUUUGAAAAGAGAGUUAAACAGUACGUGAAAUUGCCAAAAGGGAAGGGUAGGAGGUCAGAGAUGCGGCCUGGGAUUCAGCCUUGCUUUUGCUUGGUGUUUUUCCCAGAUUGCAGGCCAACGUCGGUUUUGGGCACUGGAGAAGGGUAGGAGGAACGUGGCACCUCUCGGGGUGUGUUAUAGCCUCCUACUGGAUACAGCGACCGAGACCGAGGACAGCAGCGUACUCGCAAGAGCGGGCCUUCGGGCACCUUUACGCUUAGGGCGUUGGCAUAAUGGCCCUCUACCACCCGUCUUGAAAACACGGACCAUAUCUCUUCACUCCCUCUAAAGUCGGACCAAUCCUUGUUAAUUUCUUUUCCUCC
RNAcentral lists this ribosomal RNA (660 nucleotides) under uncultured Pseudozyma. RNAcentral describes it as "eukaryotic LSU rRNA". It matches the Rfam family "Eukaryotic large subunit ribosomal RNA", at positions 81 to 664 of the family's 3401-position model. Lineage: Eukaryota; Fungi; Basidiomycota; Ustilaginomycetes; Ustilaginales; Ustilaginaceae. The record is from RNAcentral.